UGGCGAACGGGGUGAGUAACACGUGGGGCAACCUGCCCAAAAGAGGGGGAUAACACUUGGAAACAGGUGCUAAUACCGCAUAACCAUAGUUACCGCAUGGUAACUAUGUAAAAGGUGGCUAUGCUACCGCUUUUGGAUGGGCCCGCGGCGCAUUAGCUAGUUGGUGGGGUAAAGGCUUACCAAGGCAAUGAUGCGUAGCCGAACUGAGAGGUUGAUCGGCCACAUUGGGACUGAGACACGGCCCAAACUCCUACGGAAGGCAGCAG
This 266-nucleotide ribosomal RNA is filed under the name uncultured bacterium. RNAcentral's name for it is "partial 16S ribosomal RNA". It matches the Rfam family "Bacterial small subunit ribosomal RNA", at positions 96 to 354 of the family's 1533-position model. The record is from RNAcentral.